UUAAAGGUAUAAGAAAACGACAAAAAAUACGGAAGAGUAUAUUAAUGAUAUGUAACGUCAUGAAAAGGAUGGCUAGGAGGAGAAGAGAAGAGAAGAGGAUAUUGAAUGAAGGGUAUGAAUAAAACCCAGGUGUUUAAUUUCAAUGGUUGGCUUCAUGUGAAAAUUCAAAGUUGAAACCGUAACCGACCGGAAACCAUGGCAGAGAUUGAUUCAAGCAAGCCAACUGUCAAUGGUGCCAAACCCUUACAACCUAAAAGCAGCACAUAGUUUGUUUCACCUUUAACGUUAUAUAAAGUUUACAAGCCUGGGUUUGUAUCGACAAAGAAUCUAUCCUCUAACUUGUUUUAUUUGAG
This 353-nucleotide long non-coding RNA is filed under the name Medicago truncatula (barrel medic). RNAcentral's name for it is "long non-coding RNA (MTRU_LNC007882)". Lineage: Eukaryota; Viridiplantae; Streptophyta; Magnoliopsida; Fabales; Fabaceae. The record is from RNAcentral.